CCUCGCUGAUGUGCCCUGGAAGCAAAAUCAUAUACCCAAACUCACACACUUCUCAUAACUCAUUCACAGAUUUAACAAUACCUGAAACUAAAUAGAAAAAUGGAGAGGACAUGAAUCUAGAAAUGCCUUGUUCCCUCCUAAUGUCUGAAAAGAGACUGUAUGAGACAAAGAGAAACUUUUUUUUUUACAAACUUACUCUGCAUUUAAGAAUUAUAAGGAUAGUUUUUUUUCAAAUUUGAAAUCUCUUCAUGUUUUUUCUCUUGUUAAAAUCCAUUCUAAAAAAUACAACCAAUAAUGAAAUGUCUACAGCGAAAUCGCUUCAUAAUCUCAUUCUCAAACACGGAAGAGGUAAUCUUUCAUAGACAUGGGUCUAUGCACGUGUGCAUGUCUGUGUGUUAGUGGCUCAGUUGUGUCUGACUCUUUGCAACCCCAUUGACUGUACCCCGCCAGGCUACAGUCCAUAGGGUCGCACAGAGUCAGACACGACUGAAGUGAUUUAGCACAGCACAGCACAUUCUCUUCUUAUUUAACAUUUCAUAUUUAUCAUAUAAUAAAUUCUGCUUGAACCUUUUUACAACAAUAGAGAAAGUAAAGGGAAAGCCAGAAUAAGGCAACAAUUUUUAAGAAACUCAGAUUAUCCAAUGAUAUACAGCCAUUAAAACCAGGAAUGAGGAAUUCCCUGGUGGUUUAAUGAUUAGGACUCUGUGCUCUCACUGCCCAGGGCCCAGGUUCAGUGUCUAGUUGGGGAACUAAGAUCCUGCAAGCUACAUGGUGGUGUGGCAAAAAAAAAAAAAUCAAGAAUGAAUGAAACAUGUUGACAAAGGUCGUUGCACCUACUUCUAUGGACAAGGUAAGGUGAUGCCAAAAGCCAAAAAUUAGAUGGUUUGGAUGAGAGGGAUUUCUCCUCAACUUGAAAGGUGGUCAUGGUUUUCACAAAUGCAAAUUCCUUGCUUCUUGAUCUUCAGUGAAGCUGGGGAAAAAACCACUCAGCUUUGGACAAAAGGGAGGGAAGCAAAUGUCAAAAUCUCAAGAAAGAAUAAUGGUCAACUUUGCAUCCAAGAGAUGCUAACUGUAACUCUAUUUACCCAAACUCACCUACUCUGCACAUGACAUAUCCUAACAGUCUCAAACUACACCUGAGCAUGUCUUUUAAGAGUCUCUUGUAUUUUCUUUUCUGAAAAUCGUGGUCAUAUACUUUGCUUACUUUUCUACUUUGUUUGCUUUUUCUUGUUGAUUUG
Long non-coding RNA from Bos taurus (domestic cattle), 1238 nucleotides. The record is from Ensembl. Lineage: Eukaryota; Metazoa; Chordata; Mammalia; Artiodactyla; Bovidae.